CACUCGGUACAUACAGGUCGAAUUAAGACGUAUUCAAUAACAUAUUUGUUGAAUUUUUAGAUUUAUAGAUUUAGAUUUAAAAAGAAUACUUAAGUUGAGAAACAUGUACAAUGAACAAUAUUUAAUUCUAGCACUGAUGAGUUUAGCUAUAUCUUAGACAUGCAUCACGCAUUAUUUAUUAAACAAAAAAAAACUCAAUAUAUUUUGUGCGUCCAAAUGUACUUUCAUAGAGAGCGCUCAAAAAAUGGAAAGCCAGAGAUGUAAAACACAUGGAAACGCUAGGAGAUAUAUGACCAAAAGGAGCCUAAAAAAUAGUCAAAUUUAUCUAAGGCCAACUAUGUAGCUUUUAAAACAAUUUUGGAAUUUUCAUCGGGGUAAUUUUGGAAUCAAAUGAAAGCUUAAGAACUCGGGAUCACUGUAGAACCAUAUUUAAAAUUUUCUUUUGUUUAAUUUAAAAUAAAUAUGAAUUAUAAUAAUAGGAUAUAUUGUCGCGCAUGUCGUAUGUUCACCACAUGCACGAAUCAUUUUCUUUUUUUAAUAACAGUACGAUA
This 551-nucleotide long non-coding RNA is filed under the name Mytilus galloprovincialis (Mediterranean mussel). Lineage: Eukaryota; Metazoa; Mollusca; Bivalvia; Mytilida; Mytilidae. The record is from RNAcentral.